AACGAACGCUGGCGGCAUGCCUAACACAUGCAAGUCGAACGAGACCUUCGGGUCUAGUGGCGCACGGGUGCGUAACGCGUGGGAACCUGCCCUUAGGUUCGGAAUCACUCCCCGAAAGGGGUGCUAAUACCGGAUAAUGUCUUCGGACCAAAGAUUUAUCGCCUUUGGAUGGGCCCGCGUUGGAUUAGCUAGUUGGUAGGGUAAAAGCCUACCAAGGCGACGAUCCAUAGCUGGUCUGAGAGGAUGAUCAGCCACACUGGGACUGAGACACGGCCCAGACUCCUACGGGAGGCAGCAGUGGGGAAUAUUGGACAAUGGGCGAAAGCCUGAUCCAGCAAUGCCGCGUGAGUGAUGAAGGCCUUAGGGUUGUAAAGCUCUUUUACCCGGGAUGAUAAUGACAGUACCGGGAGAAUAAGCUCCGGCUAACUCCGUG
RNAcentral lists this ribosomal RNA (433 nucleotides) under uncultured bacterium. Its description in RNAcentral is "partial 16S ribosomal RNA". It matches the Rfam family "Bacterial small subunit ribosomal RNA", at positions 29 to 507 of the family's 1533-position model. The record is from RNAcentral.